UGGCGCCCAGACUAGACCGGCAGAUGGGGAGAAACAAAAACAACAGAUCGUAUUAAAGGCCUGCUUGCAUCCGCUGCAAUUCUCGUCCAAUGCAACGGAGAAAAUUUCUGGUCCUUCUCUCGCAGCGGCAGAGUGCUGCUGCAUGGAGGAGUGAGCCGCCGGGUCAUAGUGCCCGUCAUUUACACAUCCUGCUAGCCAGUGUGCAAGCGCCUGAGGAGAGCUGGGUGGUUUGCGUCAGUCUCGCUCUGUUGCGUCCUUUUGCCGAGACUUGGCUGGAUCCUGGAGGGUGCCAUUCAGCCGGAUUUCUCUUUUUCCGUGUGCCGAUCCGACGGCCACAUUCUGCUUUAUGAUGAAUCAUGCACACUUUGAAGAUGCUGACGGCAUAACAUUUCACUGAUGUGACGACGAUGUCACGUGACAAAUCAAAUUGAUUGAUUGAUUGAUUGAUUGAGCUAAUCACAACCUGUCACGAGCUAUCAAUCAAUUGUAUUUGAGUACAUAAAAUACAAUUAAAAAUGUCAAUAUGUAGAUUGUCAAACACCCAACCCAAAAAAUAAGCAAUCAUUCUUCAUAUCAGCACGAAAGAUGAAGAUUUCACUGCCAAAUCCUCAUCUACACACACACACACACACACACACACACACACACACACACACACACACACACACACAUGCACACAAACAAAGAAUGAUAUAAUUUUGCACUUAUAGUCCUUGAAAAGUCUGCGGAUACCUAAUAUCAAACUUUAGGUGGCUGUGACUGUCAGAGAACACGACUAGCAUUAGGACCCAUCCGUCAAACCUCUAUCAUGUCAAACCUCCAUGGCCAAUAACACAUCCGUUGGGUUAUAUGCAUAUACUGUCUACGGUUAUAUGCAGGACACGUUGUUGCUUCCUGCAUUCUGCAUCUGGCCUGAUAGAUACAUUAGACAGUAGCCUAUCAGUGAGGUAUAGACAAAGCAUUUUCGUUUUGAAUCUACCCACACUGUCUUGGUUUCUAAAUGUUGUACGGGGGCUCAUUUAUCUACAAGGCCACAACACAUUCAUACAGCUGUUUCACACAUGGCAAAGAACAACAUAGAUUGUCCUCCACAUUUCCUCUUGUCCUAUUAUUUAACUCACAUCAGUUGAAGGUCUAUUUUGAAGGACAUAACUAGAGAAGUAUUGCCUGAGAACAAAGUGAACUGAUGUGCUGUCAAACAGGAUGUACAUCACUUUUCAGUAAGGCAUAGUACCAUCCAGCUAGCUUUCAUGUACAAGUGUGUGACUGUGGUCUAUAGCAAGUCCUGUAGCGAAGACAUUAAACAAAUUAACAGUUUCUCUGGUGGUGAAUGGUGGUGUCCUAUGUAAGCCAUAAAUGUUUUGUUUUUUGAAACGUAAUGUAU
Perca fluviatilis (European perch) is the source of this 1384-nucleotide long non-coding RNA. RefSeq lists it as uncharacterized. NCBI's taxonomy places the organism in Eukaryota, Metazoa, Chordata, Actinopteri, Perciformes, Percidae. The transcript is spliced from 3 exons. The record is from RefSeq and is a predicted model, not a curated record.